Molecule: ribosomal RNA, 806 nt
Filed under: uncultured organism
Description: SSU rRNA
Rfam family: Bacterial small subunit ribosomal RNA
Source: RNAcentral
UUGAGUGCAGUGAGGGCAGGCGGAAUUCGUGGUGUAGCGGUGAAAUGCUUAGAUAUCACGAAGAACUCCGAUUGCGAAGGCAGCCUGCUAAGCUGCAACUGACAUUGAGGCUCGAAAGUGUGGGUAUCAAACAGGAUUAGAUACCCUGGUAGUCCACACGGUAAACGAUGAAUACUCGCUGUUUGCGAUAUACUGCAAGCGGCCAAGCGAAAGCGUUAAGUAUUCCACCUGGGGAGUACGCCGGCAACGGUGAAACUCAAAGGAAUUGACGGGGGCCCGCACAAGCGGAGGAACAUGUGGUUUAAUUCGAUGAUACGCGAGGAACCUUACCCGGGCUUAAAUUGCAGAUGAAUUACGGUGAAAGCCGUAAGCCGCAAGGCAUCUGUGAAGGUGCUGCAUGGUUGUCGUCAGCUCGUGCCGUGAGGUGUCGGCUUAAGUGCCAUAACGAGCGCAACCCUUGUUGUCGGUUACUAACAGGUUUCGCUGAGGACUCUGACAAGACUGCCAUCGUAAGAUGUGAGGAAGGUGGGGAUGACGUCAAAUCAGCACGGCCCUUACGUCCGGGGCUACACACGUGUUACAAUGGGGGGUACAGAGGGCCGCUACCACGCGAGUGGAUGCCAAUCCCAAAAACCUCUCUCAGUUCGGACUGGAGUCUGCAACCCGACUCCACGAAGCUGGAUUCGCUAGUAAUCGCGCAUCAGCCACGGCGCGGUGAAUACGUUCCCGGGCCUUGUACACACCGCCCGUCAAGCCAUGGGAGCCGGGGGUACCUGAAGUGCGUAACCGCGAGGAGCGCCCUAGGG